This 523-nucleotide ribosomal RNA is filed under the name uncultured bacterium. Its description in RNAcentral is "bacterial SSU rRNA". It matches the Rfam family "Bacterial small subunit ribosomal RNA", at positions 777 to 1308 of the family's 1533-position model. The record is from RNAcentral.
AAUAGAUACCCAGGUAGUCCACGCCGUAAACGAUGGAUACUAGCUGUUGGGGGCGACCUCAGUGGCUAAGCGAAAGUGAUAAGUAUCCCACCUGGGGAGUACGUUCGCAAGAAUGAAACUCAAAGGAAUUGACGGGGGCCCGCACAAGCGGUGGAGCAUGUGGUUUAAUUCGAUGAUACGCGAGGAACCUUACCAAGGCUUAAAUGCAGACUGACCGUUUUGGAAACAGAACUUUCGCAAGACAGUCUACAAGGUGCUGCAUGGUUGUCGUCAGCUCGUGCCGUGAGGUGUCAGGUUAAGUCCUAUAACGAGCGCAACCCCUGUUGUUAGUUGCCAGCGAGUAGUGUCGGGAACUCUAACAAGACUGCCAGUGCAAACUGUGAGGAAGGUGGGGAUGACGUCAAAUCAUCACGGCCCUUACGCCUUGGGCUACACACGUGCUACAAUGGCCGGUACAGAGAGCAGCCACCUCGCGAGGGGGANCGAAUCUACAAAGCCGGUCACAGUUCGGAUCGGAGUCUGC